Molecule: ribosomal RNA, 292 nt
Filed under: uncultured bacterium
Lineage: Bacteria
Description: partial 16S ribosomal RNA
Rfam family: Bacterial small subunit ribosomal RNA
Source: RNAcentral
GUGUCAGCAGCCGCGGUAAGACGAACCGUCCUAACGUUGUUCGGAAUCACUGGGCUUAAAGGGCGCGUAGGCGGCCCUGUAAGUCGGGGGUGAAAGCCCACGGCCCAACCGUGGAAGUGCCUCCGAUACUGCGGGGCUCGAGGGAGGUAGGGGCAGCGGGAACUUCCGGUGGAGCGGUGAAAUGCGUUGAUAUCGGAAGGAACGCCGGUGGCGAAAGCGCGCUGCUGGACCUCUGCUGACGCUGAGGCGCGAAAGCCAGGGGAGCAAACGGGAUUAGAAACCCGUGUAGUCC